This 275-nucleotide ribosomal RNA is filed under the name uncultured bacterium. Its description in RNAcentral is "partial 16S ribosomal RNA". It matches the Rfam family "Bacterial small subunit ribosomal RNA", at positions 399 to 691 of the family's 1533-position model. The record is from RNAcentral.
GCGUGUGUGAAGAAGGUCUUCGGAUUGUAAAGCACUUUCGGCGGGGACGAUGAUGACGGUACCCGCAGAAGAAGCCCCGGCUAACUUCGUGCCAGCAGCCGCGGUAAUACGAAGGGGGCUAGCGUUGCUCGGAAUUACUGGGCGUAAAGGGCGCGUAGGCGGCUCUGUGAGUCGGGCGUGAAAUUCCUGGGCUCAACCUGGGGACUGCGUUCGAUACGGCAGGGCUAGAGGACGGAAGAGGGUCGUGGAAUUCCCAGUGUAGAGGUGAAAUUCGU